This 1868-nucleotide ribosomal RNA is filed under the name Aliarcobacter butzleri. RNAcentral's name for it is "partial 23S ribosomal RNA". It matches the Rfam family "Bacterial large subunit ribosomal RNA", at positions 1 to 1867 of the family's 2925-position model. Lineage: Bacteria; Pseudomonadati; Campylobacterota; Epsilonproteobacteria; Campylobacterales; Arcobacteraceae. The record is from RNAcentral.
UAAUAAGCUAUUAAGGGCUAAUGGUGGAUGCCUAGACUGUAAGAGGCGAUGAAAGACGUAUUAGGCUGCGAUAAGCCUCGGGGAGCUGCCAAAGAGCUUUGAUCCGGGGAUUUCUGAAUGGGGCAACCCAAUAUAAUGAGAAUUAUAUUACCCUACGGGGAGCGAACCUAGUGAAGUGAAACAUCUCAGUAGCUAGAGGAAGAGAAAUCAAACGAGAUUCCCAAAGUAGCGGCGAGCGAAAUGGGAUUAGGACAAACCCAAUGCUUGCAUUGGGGGUUGUAGGACCAUGAUAUGAGACUAAAGAGGAUAGAUGAAAUACUUGGAAAAGUGUAGCAUAGAAGGUGAAACUCCUGUAAUUAAAAUUCUCAAUAGCUCUAAUGGUAUCCUGAGUAGGUCGGAACACGUGAUAUUUUGACUGAAGCCGGGGGGACCACCCUCCAAUCCUAAAUACUACUUACAGAUCGAUAGUGAACAAGUACCGUGAGGGAAAGGUGAAAAGUACUCCAGCGAGGAGAGUGAAAUAGAACCUGAAACCAUUAGCUUACAAUCAUUCAGAGCCCUAUGAUUUAUCAGGGUGAUGGACUGCCUUUUGCAUAAUGAGCCUGCGAGUUGUGGUGUCUGGCAAGGUUAAGUCAAGUACGAAGCCGUAGCGAAAGCGAGUCUUAAUAGGGCGAAUUAGUCAGAUGCUGCAGACCCGAAACGAAGUGAUCUAUCCAUGAGCAGGUUGAAGCUGGUGUAAGAGCCAGUGGAGGACCGAACCCGCAGGCGUUGAAAAGUCUUGGGAUGACUUGUGGAUAGGGGUGAAAGGCCAAUCAAACUUCGUGAUAGCUGGUUCUCUCCGAAAUAUAUUUAGGUAUAGCCUUGUGUUGUAGCAUAUGGGGGUAGAGCACUGAAUGGGCUAGGGCUGCUUACCGCGGUACCAAACCCUAUCAAACUAUGAAUACUAUAUGUGGAAUCACAGGAGUCAGGCGGUGGGUGAUAAAAUCAAUCGUCGAGAGGGGAACAACCCAGACUAACAGCUAAGGUCCCUAAGUUACAUCUAAGUGGAAAACGAUGUGGAGUUACUGUGACAACCAGGAGGUUGGCUUAGAAGCAGCCAUCCUUUAAAGAAAGCGUAACAGCUCACUGGUCUAGUGAUUCUGCGCGGAAAAUAUAACGGGGCUAAGAUGUACACCGAAGCUUUAGAUUCAAUUUUUAAUUGAGUGGUAGGAGAGCGUUCUAUUCAGCGUAGAAGAUGUACCGGUAAGGAGCGUUGGAGCGGAUAGAAGUGAGCAUGCAGGCAUGAGUAGCGAUAAUUGAGGUGAGAAUCCUCAACGCCGAAAACCCAAGGUUUCCUACGCGAUGCUCGUCAUCGUAGGGUUAGUCGGGACCUAAGUCGAGUCCGAAAGGGGUAGACGAUGGCAAAUUGAUUAAUAUUUCAAUACCAACAUAUAAGCGCGAUGUGGGGACGCAUAGAGUUAAUCGAGGUCACUGAUGGAAUAGUGGCUCGAAGGACGUAGGCUGUUAAGUAGGCAAAUCCGCUUAACAUUAGGCCGAGAUCUUACAGGCUCUUGACACUCUUCGGAGGAGAUGGAGAAUCGAUGAUACUGUCGUGCCAAGAAAAGCCACUAAGUUUAUUAUAUGUUGCCCGUACCGUAAACCGACACAGGUGGGUGGGAUGAGUAUUCUAAGGCGCGUGGAAGAACCCUGGUUAAGGAACUCUGCAAACUAGCACCGUAUCUUCGGUAUAAGGUGUGCCUACUUUUGUAUAUGAACUUGCUUCAAAAAGCGAAAGAGGUUGCAACAAAGAGUCCCUCCCGACUGUUUACCAAAAACACAGCACUUUGCUAACACGUAAGUGGAUGUAUAAGGUGUGACGCCUGCCCGGU